AGAACACGCCAUUAACAAGGCCAGAACCCCGACUGCCAUUCCUGGACGGGAGCCACCAACACCCGCAAAAUCGAUCGAUUCAGCCUGGGACGCUUGCUGUUUCCGAACCUCUGUUGCCACCUAUCCCAGUUUGGAGGGAAUUUUCCCAAGGAUGGUGAAGAAGGGAUUUCCACACGCCGCCUCACUCAGCCCCGCACCCCUGGCCACCAGCCAGGACUUAGGGUGUAGUUAAGGAUCUUUCAAUUAGAAGGGAGGCUUCUGAUUCCCAAAAGCACUCAAAAUAUUUAAGGAAGUGCUUUUUAUAAUCAGUCCUAGAGCCUUGCUGCACUGGAUACUCCUGUUAAUUAAUUUCUUCUCCUUUGACAUUUUAAGUGCUAAUUAUAGGAGAAGGUGAUUAACACUGAGAAAGGAGGAGGGGUGUGUGUGUGUGUGUGUGUGUGUGUGUGUGUGUUUUUAAUCAUGACACAAAUUUCCCCCAGUGGAAAGUGACAUGUUUCUGGAGAUCCAGGGAAUUUAAACCAAUGAAUACAUAAAAACAGUCACAUGAGUGAUGACUAACAGUAGCAGUAGAC
RNAcentral lists this long non-coding RNA (572 nucleotides) under Homo sapiens (human). Its description in RNAcentral is "non-protein coding lnc-SNX20-1:5". Lineage: Eukaryota; Metazoa; Chordata; Mammalia; Primates; Hominidae. The record is from RNAcentral.